Molecule: long non-coding RNA, 888 nt
Filed under: Monodelphis domestica (gray short-tailed opossum)
Lineage: Eukaryota; Metazoa; Chordata; Mammalia; Didelphimorphia; Didelphidae
Description: lncRNA (ENSMODG00000036322.2)
Source: RNAcentral
UAAUAAUAGACUGGUGGAUACCCUAGUGAUGGGCCUCACUGGGCUAAGCUAGGCUGGUCCAAGGAUGAAAGGCAUAAUUCAUUGCUAGCUUGUACUGUGACUCUUCCCAGCUCAGUAGAACUUGCCAGGGCUUCUCCUUCACUGGCAUAGCUUUGGAGAUGCUGGGGUCACCACCAUACCCCAACAAAGCACAAGAGUAGGACUUGUCCUACACAUUUCAAAUCCUCGAGACAAAGGAAGGAACUAACUGUGAUUGGGAAAACAGGUAAUUCGUGAUUGCCUUCUGACCCAAGUUUGCUGUGUUUGUCAUCAUAUGAAUACACCAACCAAAGGCAUUUCUCACUUUCAAAGUAAAAUGGUGCUACAAGGCUCUGCCUCAUUUUGGACUCUCUUCUCUACUGAUUUGAAAACUGAAGCACCUGAUGACAAUGAACUAAGGCUGUUGGAGCUGCAACUAAGAUGAAAAUUCAGUCAUUCGACAUCAAUAUGUUCCAUGGUAAAGCUCGUUGUUCAAGGUGCAGCCAAUUGUUCCCACUUGGAACUGAACGGAAACAAAGGCAUCUGGAAUUCAUCUUUCCCUCUUGCCAACUGUCAAAGUACUUUGUACCACUCAGGCACUCUGACACUCCUUUACAAUAAGGAAACUGAGGACUCCAAUGGUGGUGGUCACUUAGGUGAAUUAAAUGGCAAAGCUGGGAUUCAAACUCAGUCCUUAGACUCCAAAUAUUCUCUAUAUCCUGCUGUCUCUGGAAGGAAAAUUUUAUACCUUUGUGUUGAUGAAGAAUUAAGACAAUGAGAAUUACCAUAUAUUUGCCAAGAAUCUACCUUGGGCUGAAGUAGCUUAUUUUACAAUAAUAAAAAUAUAUUGUGUUGGUAAAUAAAUUUGCA